Molecule: unclassified non-coding RNA, 332 nt
Filed under: soil metagenome
Description: partial contains 5.8S ribosomal RNA, internal transcribed spacer 2, and large subunit ribosomal RNA
Rfam family: 5.8S ribosomal RNA (bases 1-120)
Source: RNAcentral
GAUGAAGAACGCAGCGAAAUGCGAUAAGUAAUGUGAAUUGCAGAAUUCAGUGAAUCAUCGAAUCUUUGAACGCACAUUGCGCCCCCCAGUAUUCUGGCGGGCAUGCCUGUUCGAGCGUCAUUUCAACCAUCAAGCCCUGCUUGUGUUGGGGUCCUGCGGCUGCCCGCAGGCCCUGAAAACCAGUGGCGGGCUCGCUAGUCACACCGAGCGCAGUAGCACAUCUCGCUCAGGGCGUGCGGCGGGCUCCAGCCGUUAAAGCACCCACCUUUCGCAAGGUUGACCUCGGAUCAGGUAGGAAUACCCGCUGAACUUAAGCAUAUCAAUAAGCGAGG